Molecule: small nuclear RNA, 294 nt
Filed under: Nannospalax galili (Upper Galilee mountains blind mole rat)
Lineage: Eukaryota; Metazoa; Chordata; Mammalia; Rodentia; Spalacidae
Description: 7SK RNA (ENSNGAG00000006247.1)
Rfam family: 7SK RNA
About the family: 7SK was discovered as an abundant small nuclear RNA in the mid-70s but a possible function has only recently been suggested.
Source: Rfam by way of RNAcentral
GGGCAAUCUGGCUAAGAGCUCUGUCACCUCAUUGAUCAUCAGGGUUCAUACACUUGAUCUGGGUGGCGAGGCAAUUUCCCCUUCCUUUCUCCCAAAGCUGCAUGCUCAAUAGAAGAAGAUAGCCCUCUCCAAUAGAGGAGGACCAUUCUUUGGUCAAGGAUAUAUAAAUAGCUGCAUUUCCCUUCUAGUACCACCAAACAAACUCUCAAGGUCAAAUGCCACUCAGCCCAGACUGGUAAGAUAUGACUUUGUGCUAACAGUUCCCAUGAUGCAGGUCGCUGCAUCUUUUUUAUG